This 1391-nucleotide long non-coding RNA is filed under the name Struthio camelus australis. RNAcentral describes it as "lncRNA (ENSSCUG00000005914.1)". The record is from RNAcentral. Lineage: Eukaryota; Metazoa; Chordata; Aves; Struthioniformes; Struthionidae.
CCCGGUCCCGUCCGACGCGCCGGGCCUGCUCUCCGUUAGCUAAGGCGGCGCGGACCCUAACCCUCCGGUCAGGCUAAGGGGACCCUACCUGUCGCCACCUCUCUCUCCGCUCUUCGUUCCUGCUUUAAGCACCAAAGCGGCCUGAAGCCAAUCUUCUGCGGGAGCAUCCCUUAGUUAGGAGCUUGUUUCGUCGCCUUAAAAAUUGCUAGUUCCUUCCCCUCCCCUGCAGGGCAGCGAUCAGAUGCGAAUAAGGGGAAGCGUUUUCCCAGGGGAAAAGCUAGCUGCCGUUUCACAGGUAAGAAAGAGUCAGGAAUAGAGUCUGGCAGGUGGAAGUAUAUCUGAUGCUUUGGACUGAAGUGCAAAAAUAACGGCAGUUCGCUUUCUUGCAGAAAAUCUGCCAGGUCAUUUGAUUACGUAGCCAUCGUUUAUAGCCAUAAACAGCCAUCGUUUAUGUCAAUUUAGACCAUGGGACUGUUUCCUCUGAUAGAGCAAUCUCCUGAAAUCUGCUGGAAAAAGCUAACUGAGAGACAAUCUGGAAGUCUGUAUUUAGCAGAUCCAGAGACGUUACCCUGUUGCAUUCGUGUCUGGUUUGGAGGUGCGAUUCGGGAAGUCAGGUCUUGACAGCGAGGUGUUGAAAGCAUCAGGGGCUGGUCUCGGCCGUGCCGCCUGCGCUAGCCGAGCUGGUACCUGGGGAAGCGUCAGGAAGUGCACAGCGUGGGCCGUGGUGGAGCGCGAGCGGAGAAGGAAGUGCUGGGAUUGGAUGCGAGAGCGGUCGAGGCGGUGGCCGUGGAUCAUUUCCAAGGAAGAGGCAGACCGUAGCAAAGGACGGGCAAUUUUUUUAUUGGGUAGCAAAAUCCACAGCCGUAUCUCCGCUUUCCCCUUUGAGCUCUCCGUUGCAAAGGUCCCGGUCCGCUUCUGAAGAAGCCCUCAACCGCGGUGAAGCAGGACGCAGAUGCGUUUUGUGGCCGAAGGGAGUAGCUUCGGGUGCUAGGAGAGGCCAAGCAGAUGCUCAAAGCAGAACGUCCUUGAUCUUUAGCACGUGCCUCAGAAAAGCAGAUCCUGAAGCAAUUCCAGGGUGACGCAGGAUGCCAAAGCCAGGUGGCCUUUGCCGCUGGUCAGAGCGGCCGUGCAGCGAGCCCUACGCUAUGGCUUUAGGAUAAAACACCUGAUUUAUAGAACAAACAGAUUUAACUACGUACCUCUUAAAAAUGUUUUAAUUGGUAGAGAUACUUUUUAAAUUAUUGGUGAUCCAACGUUCGCAAAGCUCUGAUUAGCUCUGCGCGAGUGUUCUGGCGUCGCGAUGUUCCCCAGCUGCUCCUCUUAACUUUCAAGUUGUCUUUUCUCAUGUCACUAGUAAUAAAUGAUCUGAAAACUGUAAUAUAGGGAAGUCU